AGAGUUUGAUCCUGGCUCAGGAUGAACGCUAGCGGCAGGCUUAACACAUGCAAGUCGAGGGGCAGCGGGGUGUAGCAAUACACUGCCGGCGACCGGCGCACGGGUGCGUAACGCGUAUGCAACCUACCCAUAACAGGGGCAUAACACUGAGAAAUUGGUACUAAUUCCCCAUAACAUUCGAAGAGGCAUCUCUUUGGGUUGAAAACUCCGGUGUUAUGGAUGGGCAUGCGUUGUAUUAGCUAGUUGGUACGGGG
This 254-nucleotide ribosomal RNA is filed under the name uncultured bacterium. RNAcentral's name for it is "partial 16S ribosomal RNA". It matches the Rfam family "Bacterial small subunit ribosomal RNA", at positions 8 to 259 of the family's 1533-position model. The record is from RNAcentral.